This 255-nucleotide ribosomal RNA is filed under the name uncultured Alkaliphilus sp. RNAcentral's name for it is "partial 16S ribosomal RNA". It matches the Rfam family "Bacterial small subunit ribosomal RNA", at positions 505 to 762 of the family's 1533-position model. The record is from RNAcentral. Lineage: Bacteria; Bacillati; Bacillota; Clostridia; Peptostreptococcales; Natronincolaceae.
GUGCCAGCAGCUGCGGUAAUACGUAGGGGCAAGCGUUAUCCGGAAUCAUUGGGCGUAAAGGGUGCGUAGGCUGCCCUAUAGGUCAGAGGUCAAAGGCUACGGCUCAACCGUAGUAAGCCUUUGAAACUGUGGGCUUGAGUGCAGGAGAGGAGAGUGGAAUUCCUAGUGUAGCGGUGAAAUGCGUAGAUAUUAGGAGGAACACCAGUGGCGAAGGCGACUCUCUGGACUGCAACUGACGCUGAGGCACGAAAGCGU